AGAGUCUGAUGGAGCACGCCGCGUGAGUGAAGAAGGGUUUCGGCUCGUAAAACUCUGUUGUUAAAGAAGAACAUAUCUGAGAGUAACUGUUCAGGUAUUGACGGUAUUUAACCAGAAAGCCACGGCUAACUACGUGCCAGCAGCCGCGGUAAUACGUAGGUGGCAAGCGUUGUCCGGAUUUAUUGGGCGUAAAGCGAGCGCAGGCGGUUUUUUAAGUCUGAUGUGAAAGCCUUCGGCUCAACCGAAGAAGUGCAUCGGAAACUGGGAAACUUGAGUGCAGAAGAGGACAGUGGAACUCCAUGUGUAGCGGUGAAAUGCGUAGAUAUAUGGAAGAACACCAGUGGCGAAGGCGGCUGUCUGGUCUGUAACUGACGCUGAGGCUCGAAAGUAUGGGUAGCAAACAGGAUUAGAUACCCUGGUAGUCCAUACCGUAAACGAUGAAUGCUAAGUGUUGGAGGGUUUCCGCCCUUCAGUGCUGCAGCUAACGCAUUAAGCAUUCCGCCUGGGGAGUACGGCCGCAAGGCUGAAACUCAAAGGAAUUGACGGGGGCCCGCACAAGCGGUGGAGCAUGUGGUUUAAUUCGAAGCUACGCGAAGAACCUUACCAGGUCUUGACAUACUAUGCAAAUCUAAGAGAUUAGACGUUCCCUUCGGGGACAUGGAUACAGGUGGUGCAUGGUUGUCGUCAGCUCGUGUCGUGAGAUGUUGGGUUAAGUCCCGCA
RNAcentral lists this ribosomal RNA (721 nucleotides) under Lactiplantibacillus plantarum. Its description in RNAcentral is "bacterial SSU rRNA". It matches the Rfam family "Bacterial small subunit ribosomal RNA", at positions 378 to 1091 of the family's 1533-position model. Lineage: Bacteria; Bacillati; Bacillota; Bacilli; Lactobacillales; Lactobacillaceae. The record is from RNAcentral.